AAUGCAAGCCGGCAAGGACAGUAUAACUAUAUAACGGGUACCUGUUAUAUACUGUCCUUGUGUGAUUCCAUUGAUCGCCAACACUACUCCGUCUGUCCCGGCGUGUACAUACACACUCACAGAACUGUCAGAGAAUUAAACUAAACUUGGACAAUUCGAGACGGUUGGAAAUGCGAUUUAAUACGAUGUGAGCGGCAGCAUGACCGGAUGCACGUACAGUAUCUGUACGUAGGUGCGACAUAAAAAUAGAGAAAUACUGCACAUAGAACGAUUCUUUGUUUAAUUUACGGCGGAAUUCGAGUACAAACCAUAACAGCCGAGGGGCAGCCGCGGCGCGCAGAGCAGGAUAAAGUGGCGAAGUAUCGGGAACUCACCCGAGAUUACUUGUUCCGUGCAUUUGGCGUUGAAACACUCGGACCACUCGGACCGGACGCCUCUCGUUUGGUCACCGAAGUCGGGAAGAUGAUACAACAGAAAACAGGCUAGGUACGGGCGACGGAAUAUCUGCGCCAACGGAUCAGCAUUGACAUCCAACGCGGGAACACGGCCUCUGUCAUGGGAACAGCACCAGCAUCGGCCAACUUAGACGAAAUGUUCUGUGUGAUUAGGCCGCCUAUUUCCGUAGUUGGCUGAGGCUGUGUAUUCGUUGAUGAAUUUCGUGUCCGUUGCAUUUGUCAUUGCCUUCAUUUGACUGCCGAAAUCGCUCUGGAAAAGCAGAAAUCCUUGAUUCAGAAGGUCAAGCAAAUUUGAACAUACUUCAAAAGUCC
This is a long non-coding RNA of Paramacrobiotus metropolitanus, 767 nucleotides long. RefSeq lists it as uncharacterized. The record is from RefSeq and is a predicted model, not a curated record. The transcript is spliced from 3 exons. Lineage: Eukaryota; Metazoa; Tardigrada; Eutardigrada; Parachela; Macrobiotidae.